This 497-nucleotide ribosomal RNA is filed under the name uncultured bacterium. RNAcentral describes it as "partial 16S ribosomal RNA". It matches the Rfam family "Bacterial small subunit ribosomal RNA", at positions 28 to 507 of the family's 1533-position model. The record is from RNAcentral.
GAUGAACGCUGGCGGCGUGCCUAAUACAUGCAAGUCGAGCGAACAGACGAGGAGCUUGCUCCUCUGACGUUAGCGGCGGACGGGUGAGUAACACGUGGAUAACCUACCUAUAAGACUGGGAUAACUUCGGGAAACCGGAGCUAAUACCGGAUAAUAUAUUGAACCGCAUGGUUCAAUAGUGAAAGACGGUUUUGCUGUCACUUAUAGAUGGAUCCGCGCCGCAUUAGCUAGUUGGUAAGGUAACGGCUUACCAAGGCAACGAUGCGUAGCCGACCUGAGAGGGUGAUCAGCCACACUGGAACGGAGACACGGUCCAGACUCCUACGGGAGGCAGCAGUAGGGAAUCUUCCGCAAUGGGCGAAAGCUUGACGGAGCAACGCCGCGUGAGUGAUGAAGGUCUUCGGAUCGUAAAACUCUGUUAUUAGGGAAGAACAAAUGUGUAAGUAACUAUGCACGUCUUGACGGUACCUAAUCAGAAAGCCACGGCUAACUACGUG